RNAcentral lists this ribosomal RNA (1305 nucleotides) under Xylaria sp. genotype 218. Its description in RNAcentral is "eukaryotic LSU rRNA". The stretch from base 720 to 1305 matches the Rfam family "Eukaryotic large subunit ribosomal RNA", at positions 1 to 597 of the family's 3401-position model. The record is from RNAcentral. Lineage: Eukaryota; Fungi; Ascomycota; Sordariomycetes; Xylariales; Xylariaceae.
AUAAAACUCCUAAACCCCUGUGAACUUACUGGUGUUUGGCUCGCCAGAUAUAGUCUGGUCCGUAAGCAAAUCGACUGCCUGCCUGUGUAACAGGCAGGUAAGCUUUUGUCGCGGGGUCCCGGAUCAACCCGGGCUAGAUAGCCACUUAACUAUAUACUUUUUAUAAAAUCUGUGAACUUACUAGGUUGGAUUCUCGCCAGAGAUAGUCUGGUUUCUGCUUCGCGGAUCGCCUACCCGUGACACCUGUCACAGGCAGGUAUGCUUCUGCCGCGGGUCCGUAAGUAAAUCAUCUGUUUCGCAAGGGACGGCGAUUUACCUGUGGAAGAGGUCCGCUAACUAUAUUCUUAGUAUAGUUUGUUCACUAGAUCAAACAUUCUGAAUAAAAACUUAAACUAGUUAAAACUUUCAACAACGGAUCUCUUGGUUCUGGCAUCGAUGAAGAACGCAGCGAAAUGCGAUAAGUAAUGUGAAUUGCAGAAUUCAGUGAAUCAUCGAAUCUUUGAACGCACAUUGCGCCCAUUAGUAUUCUAGUGGGCAUGCCUGUUCGAGCGUCAUUUCAACCCUUAAGCCCCUGUUGCUUAGCGUUGGGAGCCUACAGCCUGCUGUAGCUCCUUAAAGGUAGUGGCGGAGUCGGUUCACACUCUAGACGUAGUAAAAUCUUUAUCUCGCCUAUGGAUGAGCCGGCGCCUUGCCGUAAAACCCCUAAUCUUUCACAAGGUUGACCUCGGAUCAGGUAGGAAUACCCGCUGAACUUAAGCAUAUCAAUAAGCGGAGGAAAAGAAACCAACAGGGAUUGCCCUAGUAACGGCGAGUGAAGCGGCAACAGCUCAAAUUUGAAAUCUGGCCUUCGGGUCCGAGUUGUAAUUUGCAGAGGAUGCUUUGGGCGCGGUGCCUUCCGAGUUCCCUGGAACGGGACGCCUUAGAGGGUGAGAGCCCCGUACGGUUGGACACCAAGCCUCUGUAAAGCUCCUUCGACGAGUCGAGUAGUUUGGGAAUGCUGCUCUAAAUGGGAGGUAAAUUUCUUCUAAAGCUAAAUAUUGGCCAGAGACCGAUAGCGCACAAGUAGAGUGAUCGAAAGAUGAAAAGCACUUUGAAAAGAGGGUUAAAUAGCACGUGAAAUUGUUGAAAGGGAAGCGUUUGCGACCAGACCUUUUCCCAGCGGAUCAUCCGGUGUUCUCACCGGUGCACUUCGCUGGGUUGAGGCCAGCAUCGGUUUCCGCAGGGGGAUAAAAGCCUGGGGAACGUAGCUCCCUCGGGAGUGUUAUAGCCCCUCGCAUAAUACCCUUGCGGGGACCGAGGACCGCG